UUGGUCCUACGGGGGGCAGCAGUGAGGAAUAUUGGUCAAUGGGCGCAAGCCUGAACCAGCCAAGUCGCGUGAGGGAAGACGGCCCUACGGGUUGUAAACCUCUUUUGCCGGGGAGCAAGCCUGAGCACGUGUGCCCAGGCGGAGAGUACCCGGAGAAAAAGCAUCGGCUAACUCCGUGCCAGCAGCCGCGGUAAUACGGAGGAUGCGAGCGUUAUCCGGAUUUAUUGGGUUUAAAGGGUGCGCAGGCGGCACGGCAAGCCGGCGGUCAAAUCGCGGGGCUCAACCCCGCCCAGCCGUCGGAACUG
RNAcentral lists this ribosomal RNA (305 nucleotides) under uncultured bacterium. Its description in RNAcentral is "bacterial SSU rRNA". It matches the Rfam family "Bacterial small subunit ribosomal RNA", at positions 333 to 635 of the family's 1533-position model. The record is from RNAcentral.